This 123-nucleotide non-coding RNA is filed under the name uncultured Bolidomonas. Lineage: Eukaryota; Bolidophyceae. The record is from RNAcentral.
CAAGAAGCUCGUCUACACUAAGCUCCCCAACGUCGUCGGCGUCCAAACCCAAGAAUACGACGAGGACAUCUACGACGCCACCGAAGAGAAACAAUCCUUCCGCUACACCUCCUCCAUAAUCCG